GAUGAACGCUGGCGGCGUGCCUAAUACAUGCAAGUCGAGCGAACAGAUGAGGAGCUUGCUCCUCUGACGUUAGCGGCGGACGGGUGAGUAACACGUGGAUAACCUACCUAUAAGACUGGGAUAACUUCGGGAAACCGGAGCUAAUACCGGAUAAUAUAUUGAACCGCAUGGUUCAAUAGUGAAAGACGGUUUUGCUGUCACUUAUAGAUGGAUCCGCGCCGCAUUAGCUAGUUGGUAAGGUAACGGCUUACCAAGGCGACGAUGCGUAGCCGACCUGAGAGGGUGAUCGGCCACACUGGAACUGAGACACGGUCCAGACUCCUACGGGAGGCAGCAGUAGGGAAUCUUCCGCAAUGGGCGAAAGCCUGACGGAGCAACGCCGCGUGUGUGAUGAAGGUCUUCGGAUCGUAAAACUCUGUUAUUAGGGAAGAACAAAUGUGUAAGUAACUAUGCACGUCUUGACGGUACCUAAUCAGAAAGCCACGGCUAACUACGUG
This 497-nucleotide ribosomal RNA is filed under the name uncultured bacterium. RNAcentral's name for it is "partial 16S ribosomal RNA". It matches the Rfam family "Bacterial small subunit ribosomal RNA", at positions 28 to 507 of the family's 1533-position model. The record is from RNAcentral.